CCUAAAGCUUUCAGAUGGAUCUUUCAUGUUUCCAUUGUUGGAUCUGCCCAAGAAUCAAAUAAUACUUUCCAAAACUUUAUCGGAUCAACAAUUGUUAUCCAAUAUAGGGAAAUAUUUUCAUCUUAUUGAAACAUUUUUUAUGAAUGCAGGGGAGGGGGGAAACAAAAGAAAAAUACCCCGAAUUAGUAAACAAGAAUAUAAAAUCGGUAUGCAUGCCCUAUGGGGGAACCCUUUUAUGCCAAGGGUAGGCUUAGCAUGAAAAUGCAAUCCGCUAGAGUAGGCACCAUACCAUACCUGAUGAAUCCGAUCAACUCAUUGAGUGAAAAAUAAUUUUGAAAAAUUUGGUCAAUUGGAGUGACGAGAGACACUUGUCAAAAUGAGGUCAACGCCCGAAUGGAUUGAUCACUUUUGAUCGAUACAAGAAUUUGCAAAAACGCACGGGUUUGACCUUGACGAACUUCCUAUCGAAGAGAUUGGAAUUCGUUGACCAAAAUUUUUUUUUCAGCGAAGCAUGGGUCAAAACCCCAACUGAUCAAAUGGCUGGAUGCAAUGGAUGGUUUUCUCAAAAAUCGACUAAAUUUCUCAAUUUGAAAUUGACAUUGAAACCCUGAUUGGUCAAAUGGGUUGAAUGAAAUUGACCAUUUAUUUAAAAUCUACCGGAUUACCCUAAAAAAGGAAACGGGUCAAAUGAAUUGAGUGAAAUUUAAAACUUACUCAAAAUUGACCGAAUCAUCCUAAAAAAACUUGAUUGAAUGACAUUGAGAAUUUUGUUCAAAAUAAAAUUGGUCAAAUGAAUUGAAUGAAAUCGAGAAUUUAUUCAAAAUUGACCAGAUCGCCCUAAAAGGGUAAACUGGUCCAAUGAAUUGGACGAAAUGGAUAAUUUAUCGAAAAUCGACAAAAUUGCCCUAACUAAUCAAAUGAAUUGAAUGAAAUUGGUGAUUUAUUCAAAAUCAACUAGAUUGCCCUAAAAAUGAACAAAUUGAUAAAAUGGACUGGAUGAUAUUGAUGAAAGAAAUGGUUCAAUGGAUUGAAUGGAAUUGGGAGCUUAUUUAAAAAAAAUCAAGCUAUCCACUGAUAGUUUCAAAAAUUUAUUACGAUGCAUUAGUCUAUGAGCCUUCUAAAAUCAAAUUUUGGCCUUAAUUCAUUUAUCGUCUCAAUAGGAGAAAUUAUUUGUGAAUUUCUUCAAAUUAAAGUCCUUUGCGCAAGGAAUUUUUACUAACUUUGAAAAAAUGGCCAAAAAGUGAUUAUUAGACGCUCAUAUUCCAAAAAUCGCUCUUAUGAAGACGAUCGGAUCCUACCUUACCUUAUGCACUACCCCUUUGGAUUGUACAAAAUGUAAACGUGCAAGUCUCUUUGGAUUAAGUAUCCGAGACACAAGGUGGUUUAUUCCUGAUACGGGAUCCCCUAAAUGGCAUUCCCUUUCUAGGGUUAUGCAUGAUGCCAUUUAUUAAAGCAGUAAAAUAUGCAAUUUGAAAUGAAACAUGACCUAAAAGACCCUUUAUUUGCCAGGGUAAGCCUAAAAUGAUAUGACAUUAUUAAUUUAUGAAUGAAAUAUAUCACAACUUCUUAAACGUGCAAUAUCCUAUCUACACGGGUAGGCUUCUAAAAGAAGGUCAUGCCAGACCUCUUAUUUGCUAGGGGUUUGUGAAUGCAAUAGGGACACAAAACCAAGAAAAGUUAGUUCAAGCAGAUAAAUACACAUAACACAUUGUAGCAACGAGAUAAAGCAAUCAAUACAAAGCAAUAAAAGGGAAAAAGGGGUUGGAUCCCUCCCCUCGUGAAUAGUGUCCCUAGCUCAGGAUAAGGCCGACUCUACCCUAGGCAAGCUAUCAUGGAUGCAUGAGGUAUUGGCUCACUAAUGCAUCUAGACUCGAUAGGUUUUAGGUCCCCGAGCCUUCAGACUUGGAAACCAAGGGUCAUCAAUCCCAAGGUUCUUUGUCGGUGGCUCGAGCGAUUCCCCAGACAUUGCUACGCACAUGUCGUGUCACGGCCACAUGUCUGAGUGAAUCUAUCAAAAAUUCUCAAUCUUCGACUAAAAGCUAAAGGCUAUUAACCCAAAGCUUAAAGCGGAAGAUUAAGUGACCCCUCGGAUCGUGCUACGCACACGUCAUGUCACGAUCACACGUCCAAGUGGGUCGCCUAAAAUCCUAAUAGGGUGGAGUGGCGUGACAAGCCACUAAAAGAAAAAUAAAUAAAGGGUGAAAAAAAUUAAAGCGUAUGCACGUAUGCUAGUGCUCGUUUGGAGGGGAGGGAUCAAGAACCAACGCGAGGCUCUAGGGUGAUGUCCCCCACCCAAAUGCAAUGCAAGCGCGAGAUAAACAAGUAAACAUACAUCCAAUCAACCAAUCAUACAUUCGUGAGGGAGUAAUUUGAGACGCGAGUGAGACAAAGAGUCCUAAAAAGGAAAAUGCAACCCUAAUAUCCAAGAUGCAAUGCAUAAAAGGGGUAGAAAAAGGAAAAGAAUGGCUAAGUCAAAUGCUUGGACCCACUUAGGAAUUCCCCAGUGGAGUCGCCAAGUUGUCGCGUCCCACUCUUUGAUAUUGUGUGAACGUGUGUAGAAGUGAAAGCAAAGACCGUGGGAUUGUAAAAUGCGACGGUUUUGGUCAAGUAAAGUUCAAAAGGGUUUUAUGUAUAAAAAAUGGAGUUGCCACUUGGUAUAGAGUUAGGGUGU
Molecule: long non-coding RNA, 2671 nt
Filed under: Coffea arabica (coffee)
Lineage: Eukaryota; Viridiplantae; Streptophyta; Magnoliopsida; Gentianales; Rubiaceae
Description: long non-coding RNA (CARA_LNC006140)
Source: RNAcentral